AGUGAACGCUGGCGGUAGGCCUAACACAUGCAAGUCGAACGGCAGCACAGUAAGAGCUUGCUCUUACGGGUGGCGAGUGGCGGACGGGUGAGGAAUACAUCGGAAUCUACUUUUUCGUGGGGGAUAACGUAGGGAAACUUACGCUAAUACCGCAUACGACCUACGGGUGAAAGCAGGGGAUCUUCGGACCUUGCGCGAUUGAAUGAGCCGAUGUCGGAUUAGCUAGUUGGCGGGGUAAAGGCCCACCAAGGCGACGAUCCGUAGCUGGUCUGAGAGGAUGAUCAGACACACUGGAACUGAGACACGGUCCAGACUCCUACGGGAGGCAGCAGUGGGGAAUAUUGGACAAUGGGCGCAAGCCUGAUCCAGCCAUACCGCGUGGGUGAAGAAGGCCUUCGGGUUGUAAAGCCCUUUUGUUGGGAAAGAAGAGCAGCAGGUUAAUACCCCGCUGUUCUGACGGUACCCAAAGAAUAAGCACCGGCUAACUUCGUG
This 492-nucleotide ribosomal RNA is filed under the name uncultured bacterium. Its description in RNAcentral is "partial 16S ribosomal RNA". It matches the Rfam family "Bacterial small subunit ribosomal RNA", at positions 29 to 507 of the family's 1533-position model. The record is from RNAcentral.